Molecule: ribosomal RNA, 429 nt
Filed under: Actinomycetes bacterium
Lineage: Bacteria; Bacillati; Actinomycetota; Actinomycetes
Description: Actinobacteria bacterium partial 16S ribosomal RNA
Rfam family: Bacterial small subunit ribosomal RNA
Source: RNAcentral
UAGGGAAUCUUCCGCAAUGGGCGAAAGCCUGACGGAGCAACGCCGAGUGAGUGAUGAAGGUCUUCGGAUCGUAAAACUCUGUUAUUAGGGAAGAACAAAUGUGUAAGUAACUAUGCACGUCUUGACGGUACCUAAUCAGAAAGCCACGGCUAACUACGUGCCAGCAGCCGCGGUAAUACGUAGGUGGCAAGCGUUAUCCGGAAUUAUUGGGCGUAAAGCGCGCGUAGGCGGUUUUUUAAGUCUGAUGUGAAAGCCCACGGCUCAACCGUGGAGGGUCAUUGGAAACUGGAAAACUUGAGUGCAGAAGAGGAAAGUGGAAUUCCAUGUGUAGCGGUGAAAUGCGCAGAGAUAUGGAGGAACACCAGUGGCGAAGGCGACUUUCUGGUCUGUAACUGACGCUGAUGUGCGAAAGCGUGGGGAUCAAACAGG